This 253-nucleotide ribosomal RNA is filed under the name uncultured Lachnospiraceae bacterium. RNAcentral's name for it is "partial 16S ribosomal RNA". It matches the Rfam family "Bacterial small subunit ribosomal RNA", at positions 524 to 776 of the family's 1533-position model. The record is from RNAcentral. Lineage: Bacteria; Bacillati; Bacillota; Clostridia; Lachnospirales; Lachnospiraceae.
UACGUAGGGGGCAAGCGUUAUCCGGAUUUACUGGGUGUAAAGGGAGCGCAGGCGGUCUGGCAAGUCUGAUGUGAAAUACCGGGGCUCAACUCCGGGACUGCAUUGGAAACUGUCAGACUGGAGUGUCGGAGAGGCAGGCGGAAUUCCUAGUGUAGCGGUGAAAUGCGUAGAUAUUAGGAGGAACACCAGUGGCGAAGGCGGCCUGCUGGACGACAACUGACGGUGAGGCGCGAAAGCGUGGGGAGCAAACAGG